Molecule: long non-coding RNA, 1569 nt
Filed under: Mus musculus (house mouse)
Lineage: Eukaryota; Metazoa; Chordata; Mammalia; Rodentia; Muridae
Description: RIKEN cDNA 4833411C07 gene
Source: RNAcentral
AGAAAUAGGACAGCAGCCAUUCCAGGUAGCAGGGGAAUGGCCCUUCCUCACUUUCUGACGAUUUUUUUUUACGCUCUUCUGUCUUUGGGGAAAGCGGCAGGCUAAGGAAAACCGGGAAGCCACGCAGACCUCUGCCUGUGACACAGCACGUGGGCUGGCCUCUGGCAACUGACAGAGGGAACAUUGCUGCUGAUGCGAAGAAAAGUCAUCAGAGAUUCUAAAAAAUAACGGUAAAUAUAACUAUGGCGGAUAAGCAAGGAGGGACAGGAGGUGACCAAGGCCACAGUGGGGAGAGACCUAGCAGAGAGAGCACCCACCUCAAUCAGGCCACAGCCGGGACGGAGGUUCUGAGCCACGUCUCCUGAGUUCAUUUACUCGGUGGAAGUCAAUCUUAAUUGUCAAUUCGAUGAGAUUUUUAAUCGCCAUGGAAACAGACCUCUGAGCAUGUCACGGAGACAGUUUCUAUAUCAGGUUAAUCGAGGUACAUCUGAGGUACAACAGUCUACCUCAUAGUGGCCUCUGACAGUCCAAAGCACGAGCGGUCAUUGCCAGGGCAGCUCCAUUGUCUGCCAGAGCCCUCUCUGCUCUGCUUAUAGCUGUCUCAUGCCAGCCGAGUCGCUUCAGCAUGCAGGUGCCUGCCUCUGCUCACCCCCUGUCAGUUCCCAGAUCAGAGACACCAGGAUGCCCCCCGUAAAAAAUUUUCUUCUUUAAGUUGCCUUGGUCAUUGUGUCUAAGUAGCUAAGACACCUUGCUCGGUUUUAAACUCACUCAUUCAAAACCAAAACCAUAGCUUUCAUAAACCAUUCUCUGGACUGUACAGAACAACUCCUUAAGGCAAACACAUAUCUGUGGAUUCUAUAUAUGGCCAAGCAGGUGAGUGUCUCCUUGGAUGGCUGAGAAAUCAGGUAAUGAUGAUAGACAUAAAGUACCAAAUGUCUAUGGUUCCAGGUUAACUCAUUCAAGGCACAGGCAUGUUUGUGCUGAGUCUGUUUUAAUCAAUGCAACAUGCCUGGGUUUGGGGUUGCUAUUUCUCUAGAAAUCUCCAAAGAUUUCUGCCCUAACUCAUAGACUAUAUAGGUGUGGGCACAUUGCAGUCAUCUGAAGACCUGCAAACUAUGGCAUAGUGUAAGACCUUUGCCUCCUGAUGUCAUUAGCCCUUUCCAAGGGGUGCUUGCUACUUGAGUAAUGGCUCCCCAGUGCUCUGUUUAUAGGAAGGGGCCUGGAGAGCAAGUCCAUCUCUCAGGGUUUGCUUUCCUUUCAUUCACAUGAGCAGGUCUUAGCAGACAAUCCUCCUGGUGUGAGAUCUGAUGGGAAUUUGGGGUCACAGAAGCAUAUCAGUGAGGGUUGGGGGCUUUGCGAGGUUAUCAGAUGACCCUCUUGACUUUGCUGGGUCCUGGGAGGCAAGAAUGACAGGCAAAGGAGCCACUGAGUAGAUGUGAACGCCUUUAAUUCCUGUACUGAGGGAAGCACGGGCAGGUGGAUCUCUGAGUUCAAGACCAGCUUGGCCUAAAGAACAAGUUCCAGGACAGCUAAAGAUAAACAAAGAAACUCUGUCUCAAAAACUCAAAA